UACAGAGGGUGCGAGCGUUAAUCGGAAUUACUGGGCGUAAAGCGUGCGUAGACGGUUAUCUAAGUCGGAUGUGAAAGCCCCGGGCUCAACCUGGGAAUUGCAUUCGAGACUGAAUAGCUAGGGUACGGUAGAGGGAAGCGGAAUUUCCGGUGUAGCGGUGAAAUGCGUAGAUAUCGGAAGGAACAUCAGUGGCGAAAGCGGCUUCCUGGACCAGUACCGACGUUCAGGCACGAAAGCGUGGGGAGCAAACAGG
Molecule: ribosomal RNA, 253 nt
Filed under: uncultured bacterium
Lineage: Bacteria
Description: partial 16S ribosomal RNA
Rfam family: Bacterial small subunit ribosomal RNA
Source: RNAcentral